RNAcentral lists this ribosomal RNA (468 nucleotides) under uncultured bacterium. RNAcentral describes it as "partial 16S ribosomal RNA". It matches the Rfam family "Bacterial small subunit ribosomal RNA", at positions 28 to 507 of the family's 1533-position model. The record is from RNAcentral.
GACGAACGCUGGCGGCGUGCUUAACACAUGCAAGUCGAACGGUGAAGCUCCAGCUUGCUGGAGUGGAUCAGUGGCGAACAGGUGAGUAACACGUGAGCAACCUGCCCCUGACUCUGGAAUAAGCGCUGGAAACGGCGUCUAAUACUGGAUACGAGAAGGGUCCGCAUGGGCACUUUCUGGAAAAUUUUUCGGUUGGGGCUGGGCUCGCGGCCUAUCAGCUUGUUGGUGAGGUAAUGGCUCACCAAGGCGACGACGGGUAGCCGGCCUGAGAGGGCGACCGGCCACACUGGGACUGAGACACGGCCCAGACUCCUACGGGAGGCAGCGGUGGGGAAUAUUGCACAAUGGGCGAAAGCCUGAUGCAGCGACGCCGCGUGAGGGAUGACGGCCUUCGGGUUGUAAACCUCUUUCAGCAGGGAAGAAGCGAAAGUGACGGUACCUGCAGAAGAAGCACCGGCUAACUACGUG